CUGGCUUUGAAAACACCACCAUCUGCAAUUCUUCCUUGAGCACCAAUGUCUGCGUAGAUGAAGUUAUAUUUAGCGUCCACCAAAUUCUUUUUAGGAGGAUGGUAACGUAUCACAAACAAGUGAAGAGGAUAACAUAGCUAUUCCAACGCAGCAUGAACCAGCGCCUAAAAAGUUAAAAAGAGAUCCAAAACUCCAGCUGUUGAAAGAAGCAUUCGGGAUAUUACAAGCAGCAGCAAAUAGACUGCCUCUGCCCCAGUCAGCUGAUGACAAUCCUGAACUGAGGUUGUUUUUGGACUUCAUACUAGCCAAGAUGAAAAAUUAUAGCACUCAAACAAGGAAUUUAAUACAGGGAGACAUUUUCCAGAUUAUUUUUCGAGCUGAUCAAGGCUUCUAUGAUGAUCCACGGCAGUAUGGGUACUUUUCUGGUGCACCUUCCACAAGUACUGGUACUACUAAUUGUUACCCACAGACACAUGCCCCAUCACUGUGCUCAUCGUUUGGAAAUGCAACCUGGUCACCAUCACAUGUGGUGAGCUGUCACCACAUGUGAAUCAAUCCCUACGUGACAGUCUGUCCCCUACAAGCGACACACAAAGUGACAUGUAAUCCAAGUGGCAUAUUACCGAACUGGUUUGACAUGAUUUGAUUCUUUUGUGUAAACGACAUGUAUGGAUGAUAAAUGACACAAUAAGUACAACUGA
RNA transcript from Cryptotermes secundus, 701 nucleotides. RefSeq lists it as uncharacterized. The transcript is spliced from 2 exons. Lineage: Eukaryota; Metazoa; Arthropoda; Insecta; Blattodea; Kalotermitidae. The record is from RefSeq and is a predicted model, not a curated record.